This 253-nucleotide ribosomal RNA is filed under the name uncultured bacterium. Its description in RNAcentral is "partial 16S ribosomal RNA". It matches the Rfam family "Bacterial small subunit ribosomal RNA", at positions 524 to 776 of the family's 1533-position model. The record is from RNAcentral.
UACGUAGGGUGCAAGCGUUAAUCGGAAUAACUGGGCGUAAAGGGUGCGCAGGCGGAUUUGCAAGACAGAUGUGAAAGCCCUGGGCUUAACCUGGGAACUGCAUUUGUGACUGCAAGUCUAGAGUAUGGCAGAGGGAGGUGGAACUCCAUGUGUAGCAGUGAAAUGCAUAGAGAUAUGGAGGAACACCGAUGGCGAAGGCAGCCUCCUGGGCCAAUACUGACGCUCAGGCACGAAAGCGUGGGGAGCAAACAGG